RNAcentral lists this ribosomal RNA (658 nucleotides) under Gluconacetobacter sp. IMBG188. Its description in RNAcentral is "bacterial SSU rRNA". It matches the Rfam family "Bacterial small subunit ribosomal RNA", at positions 39 to 741 of the family's 1533-position model. The record is from RNAcentral. Lineage: Bacteria; Pseudomonadati; Pseudomonadota; Alphaproteobacteria; Acetobacterales; Acetobacteraceae.
GCGGCAUGCUUAACACAUGCAAGUCGCACGAACCUUUCGGGGUUAGUGGCGGACGGGUGAGUAACGCGUAUGGAUCUGUCCAUGGGUGGGGGAUAACUUUGGGAAACUGAAGCUAAUACCGCAUGACACCUGAGGGUCAAAGGCGCAAGUCGCCUGUGGAGGAACCUGCGUUCGAUUAGCUAGUUGGUGGGGUAAAGGCCUACCAAGGCGAUGAUCGAUAGCUGGUCUGAGAGGAUGAUCAGCCACACUGGGACUGACACACCGCCCACACUCCUACGGGAGGCAGCAGUGGGGAAUAUUGGACAAUGGGCGCAAGCCUGAUCCAGCAAUGCCGCGUGUGUGAAGAAGGUUUUCGGAUUGUAAAGCACUUUCAGCGGGGACGAUGAUGACGGUACCCGCAAAAGACCCCCCGGCUAACUUCGUGCCAGCAGCCGCGGUAAUACGAAGGGGGCAAGCGUUGCUCGGAAUGACUGGGCGUAGAGGGCGCGUAGGCGGUUUUAACAGUCAGAUGUGAAAUUCCUGGGCUUAACCUGGGGGCUGCAUUUGAUACGUUGAGACUAGAGUGUGAGAGAGGGUUGUGGAAUUCCCAGUGUAGAGGUGAAAUUCGUAGAUAUUGGGAAGAACACCGGUGGCGAAGGCGGCAACCUGGCUCAUUACU